GCGAGCAUGACAGCUCAUGAACAAACCUUUGCUCCUUCAAGAUUAACGUUUUGACUGACGAAUAGACCCAUGUUGGAAGUAACUCAAGUCUUUCCCUUGUGUUGACUGAUCAUCUAUUUGCUCCUUCAAGAUUAACGUUUUGACUGACGAAUAGACCCAUGUUGGAAGUAACUCAAGUCUUUCCCUUGUGUUGACUGAUCAUCUAAAUAGAACCCACAAAGUGUCCUGGAUGAUGUUCAAGCUU
Molecule: long non-coding RNA, 244 nt
Filed under: Lathyrus oleraceus (garden pea)
Lineage: Eukaryota; Viridiplantae; Streptophyta; Magnoliopsida; Fabales; Fabaceae
Description: Pisum sativum (pea) long non-coding RNA (PSAT_LNC004867)
Source: RNAcentral